This is a long non-coding RNA of Ipomoea nil (Japanese morning glory), 423 nucleotides long. RefSeq lists it as uncharacterized. The transcript has 3 exons. NCBI's taxonomy places the organism in Eukaryota, Viridiplantae, Streptophyta, Magnoliopsida, Solanales, Convolvulaceae. The record is from RefSeq and is a predicted model, not a curated record.
GAACAGUACAUUAUGUUUGAUUAGCUGCGUGAUCGGAUUCAUGAAGCGGGUUUUCAUGUUGAUGUUGAUACAUCUGACAGGACAAUCCAGAAAAAAGUACGGGAAGCUCAGGUUGCGCAGUACAACUACAUAUUAGUGGUUGGUGAAAAGGAAGCAACCACUGGAGAGGUUAGCGUCCGAGUGAGAGACAUUCCUGAUCACAAAGUGAUGACGGUUGAUGAACUCCUGGCUCACUUUAAGGAUUUAAUGGCAUCAUAUAAGUAAUACAUUCCUGCUUGUAUGCCUUUUUAUUUUAUAGAUCGCAGUCAUUCAGUAUGACUUUUGAUUGAACAUGGCAUAAUGCAAAAGAUCAUUUUCUUCCAAAUUCAUCCACUGUCACGGUAUAUUAUCUGCUUAUACAUACAGGAUUUUAUUUUAUUUAUU